AAAAUCUUUUCUACCAACCUGUGUUUUUUGAUUGGAGAUUUAAUCCAUUUACAUUUAAGUUAAUUACUAAUUAAUUGGUAAUUUAAAUUAAUGACCAAAUAAUUACUAAUUUAAAUUGAUUAAUAGAGAUUAACUUACUAUUGCCAUUUUAUUAUUUGUUUUCUAUAUGUCUUAUAGCUUUUUUAAUCCUUCAUUUCCUCUGUUACUACUGCCUUACUUUGCAUUUACUUGAGUUUUUGCAAUGACACAUUUUGAUUCCCUUCCCAUUUCCUUUCAUGUGUAUUCUGUAGAUAUUUUCUUUGUGUUUACCAUGGGCACUGCAUAUAAUAUCCUAAAGUUAUAACAAUCUAUUUUAAACUGAUACCAACAGAACUUCAAUUGCAUUCAAAAGCUCUUCUCCUUGGGGUGCCUGGAUGGCUCAGUCGGUUAAGCCUCUAACUGCGGCUCAGGUCAUCUCAUGGCUCCUGAGUUUGAGCCCUGCAUUGGGCUCUGUGCUGACAGCCCAGACCCUGGAGUCUGUUUCAGAUUCUGUGUCUCCCUCUCUCUCUCUCUCUCCCCCCAUUCCCACUCGUGCUCUGUCUCUCUCUCAAAAAUAAAUAAAAACAUUAAAAAAAAAACCUCUUCUCCUUUGAUAGCUCCACCCCUCAUUUAGUUAUUGAUAUCACAGAUUAUAUCUUUAUAUAUAAUGUAGCCAUACAGAUUUAUCAUUAUUUUAUGCUUUUUUCUUUUAAAUAAUGUAAAAGAAUAAAAAAGGAGUUAUGAACCAAAAUUAUAAUAAAACCAAAAUUAUAAUAAAAAAACAAAAUUAUAAUAAAUGUAUCCAUGUAUUUACCUUCAUCAAAAACUUCAUGUUUUCAUAUGGCUUCAAGUUGCUGCUAAUGUCCUUUCAUUUCAACUCGAAGGGCUCACUUUAGCAUUUCUUGUAGUACAGUUCUAGAGGUAAAGAACUCACUCAGCUUUUGUUUAUCUGGGAAUGUCUUAAUUUCUCUCUUAUUUUUUGAAGGUCAGUUCUGCUGGAUAUAGAAGUUUUGGGUGACAGUUUGUUUUUCCUUUCAGCACUUUAAAUAUAUUAUCCCACUGCCUUCAGGCCAGAAGGUUUCUGCUGAGAAAUCCAUUCAUAAUCUUAUUGGAGAUCCUUUAUAUGUGAUAAGUAUUUCUUUUGCUGCUUUCAAGAUUUUUAAAAUUUGUCUUUAAUCUUCCACAGUUUGAGGGUUUGUCUUUGUGUGGAUUUCUUUGGAUUCAUCCUACUUGGAAUUCACUGAGCUUCUUAUAUUUGUAUAUCUAUAUCUUUCUUUAAAUUUGGGGAGUUUUUGGCCAUUAUUCCACAAAAUAAGCUCUGUGUCCCUUUCUCUCUUCUUCUGGUAUUCUAAUAAUAUGUAUAUUGGUCUGGUUUAUGUUAUUCUGCAGAGUUUCUUAGGCUCUGUUCACUUUUCUUUUUUGACUUUUCAGAUUCAUCAAUUUAAAAUAAUCUGUCUUCAAGUUUGCUGAUACUUUAUUCUGCUUGUUUGAGUAUGUUGUUGAUCCUCUCUAGUGAAUUUUUUAAGUUACUUAUUUUAUUUUUUCAGCUCCAAAAUUUGUUUGAUUAAAAAAAAAUAAUUUCUAGCUCUUUGUUGAUAUUCUCAUUUUGUUCAUAUAUUGUUUUCCUGAUUUUCUUGUGUUCUCUCUCCAUGUUUUCCUUUGGCUCUUAGAGCAUACUUAUCACCAUUGUUUUUAAAAUUGUUGUCUUGUAAGUCUAAAGCCUGUAUUUCUUUAGAGUCAGGUUCUGGAAAUUUAUUUUGUUCAUUGUUUUGUUCAUUUAUUUUGUCCAUCUUUCCCUAUUUCUUUCUAUGGUUCAUGAUCUUUUGUUGAAAAUUACAAAUUUGAAAAACAGCCACAUAGCCUGGCCUUUGUAGAUUGACUCCAUGCAGGGGAAGACCCUCGCUAAUUAGCCCAGUGCAAGGGCUUAAGGACUGUCAGGUCUUUUCUAGUCAUUAGUUUUCCCUGGGCCUGUUUGUGUGUAUUUUCCUCCUAAUUAUCCUAUAUACAUGACUUUUUACAUAUCUAUUUAAUUUAAUUAAUUUUAAUUUUAUUCAAUUUUGUUUAAUUUUAUUUUUUUGAGUGGGGGCAGAAAGAGAGAGAGAGAGAAUCCCAAGAAGGCUCCAUACCCAGUGCGGAGCCCAACACGUGGCUUAAUCUCACAACCAUGAGAUCAUGACCUGAGCUGAAAUCAAGAGUUGGACACUUAACCGACUGAGUCACCCAGGCAUCCCUAAAUAUCUUAAUUUCAGUGAGCCUUACCCCUGUUUUUAGAUCUCAUUGUGUUCCUCUCCCCAUAAUCUCUCACAAGCGCACCCAUGAGUUUGCAGACUCCUAUAGUUCUCACAUGCCACUGCUUUUAGCAAUCUCCAGUCUGAUAUCCAAUGAUGCCUUUGUUUCUGUCUAAGGUCUAAGGCAAGCAAAACAGAAACCAGUCUCUCAGGAAGCCAUCAGACAUGCCAGGACAUUGCAAACAAGAUUCACUCUUUUCCUCCUGUCCCAAGGGAGGAGCUGGGAAUUGGACAACUUCUUCCCGUCUCUGCUGUGUGAUGCCAGGGAGGGGUGAGGCAAGGGUGAACAAAAAUGCCAGGAAGUUUCCUACCACUGCGAGUAUGGCUUUUUCUUGAUUUGACAUUCACUCUGUUGUUCCAAAUCUUUGACUAGCUUCUAAAUCUCCCACAAAGCCGUUUCAUUCUGCCUGUUGUUCAUCUAGUGUUUCCAUGUCAGAAUGAGAGCCUAGAGCUUCCUAUCCACCAUCUUGCUGACAUCAGUCUCUCUUGGUGUGUAUCUUUUGGAAAAAAAAAUGUUGGAGGGAAUGAGGUGUUAGGUGAGGCUGAACAAAAGGAACUGAUCGGGGUGCCUGAUGUGGGGGAUGACACAGUGCUAUAGCCAGGCAUGUUUUUGCCUAUUCUGAUGCCGCUCACUCUGUUUUGCCUAUUCUGAUGGCCGAUAUACUUUUGUAAACACACUACUUUCUUUUCCUAGAAAAUAAUGUCAUUUUCUCUUUAAAUAGUGCAGUGAUACCUUUAGAGAUGCUAUAGUUGCUAUCGAAGCAAGUAAUUGUGCAGAAGAAAUGAAGGCGUGGGGGAAAAGGCAUAGUUCUUAUUCAAAUUGGGAGCAAUAAAUAGGGCCAGAAAAGUACAUGAAAUGACAAAUGUUUGUAAGUAAAUUUGACAGUUUAAGGUGGGACUCUCCAGACCUGCUAAAAGAAAAUUCUGACAUCCGAUAAUCUAUGAACUGCUUUUCCCCGGCCUAGGCCAGAUCUGAGCUCUAACCCAAAAUUAACACAUGUUCGAAUUUUCCCAGACCUGUUUAGAUAUGCCCCGUUUUUAAAAUUUGCUUUUAAAACUUUUUGAUAAUUUUUGAUAAAUGCCCAGUUAGAAGUAGAAGAUUAGUGUCCAAAGUAGGAAAACAGUUUCCCCACACUUGAGUGUUUCUAAAUGUGGGGAAGAGACUAGCCUAGAUGUUCUCUUUUGUUUUAUUGGCCAGUUUGUCUAUUGCUAUGCUAUUACCACGUUGAUUUCUUAUAGUUUUAUCCUUUAUACUACAGCACUGAUGGCUGUUAUUUAAAAGUGUCUUUGCUCUUCUUGUACUUGCCCUUCCAUAUUGAUUUUAGAGUCAGGCAAGUUCCAUAGGGGAAAAAAAAAAAAAAACAUUGUGGUUUUGACUGGAAUUGCA
Felis catus (domestic cat) is the source of this 3693-nucleotide long non-coding RNA. RefSeq lists it as uncharacterized. NCBI's taxonomy places the organism in Eukaryota, Metazoa, Chordata, Mammalia, Carnivora, Felidae. The transcript has 2 exons. The record is from RefSeq and is a predicted model, not a curated record.